Molecule: ribosomal RNA, 253 nt
Filed under: uncultured bacterium
Lineage: Bacteria
Description: partial 16S ribosomal RNA
Rfam family: Bacterial small subunit ribosomal RNA
Source: RNAcentral
CACGUAGGAGGCGAGCGUUGUCCGGAAUCAUUGGGCGUAAAGAGCGCGCAGGCGGCCCGGCAAGUCGGGUGUGAAAUCCCGGGGCUCAACCCCGGGACUGCAUUCGAUACUGUCGGGCUAGAGGUAGGUAGGGGAGAUCGGAAUUCCUGGUGUAGCGGUGAAAUGCGCAGAUAUCAGGAGGAACACCGGUGGCGAAGGCGGAUCUCUGGGCCUUACCUGACGCUCAGGCGCGAAAGCUAGGGGAGCGAACGGG